Heterocephalus glaber (naked mole-rat) is the source of this 2152-nucleotide long non-coding RNA. The record is from Ensembl. Lineage: Eukaryota; Metazoa; Chordata; Mammalia; Rodentia; Bathyergidae.
AUGUGGGGCAUUUGCAGUCCCGGCUGGCUCUUUUUUUUCUAACCUUCACAUAUGUUCUGUCUUUAAAUUACCCUCAUAACCCCAUAAUUCAGCUACUCUGUUGAAAGGAACGGGCAAGCUUUCUUCCCACCUUCACUCGACCCCACCCCAGCGUGGGGUUAAACUAGCUUCACGUGAUCCUGUGAGACUCCUGCCACCGCCCAUUCGUGGCCUCCGGCACUGCUGCUCUGCACCUGGCUCAGGUGCUGCCCGCCACUCGCGCAGCUGCUGCUGCAGACCCCAGGCUGUCUACCCACGCGAGGCCACCGAAAGUCCGUCCGCUCUAAGCCGACAGAACAUCGGAGGCUGAGGCAGGAAGGUCACGAAGAGUUUGAUGGCAGCCAGGACCACUUGGAGGGACCCUGUCUCCAAACUCCCCCCAAAACAACAGAAAACCCCAAAACAAAAACACAUAAACACGAAAGUCCUCUGUCUUCAUCUUUGCUUGUAUGGUGCACUAUUAUUUUGUCUAACGUACAUGGUCUCUCUCACUAUUUCCGGUCUUUCUACAUGACCCUUCAAAUCCACCGUGGGCUGAGAAAGACACCCUGGAGCACAUCUGUUGGGAGUAUUACAGUUGCGCAAGGCACACAACCCACAUCACAUUGGAAUAAGGCGGAAGAUGUCCAUCUCACGGAAAUACUCAGCCUUCAGUCAUGUGCCUGGAGUUUAAAUGACUUGACGGAGACCCAGUUUCCUUCUCAUCCAUCCUCUUCCUCACCUGGGCUUCCUCCUCGGCCCCUGCUCCUGACAGCUCCGAGACAAACUGGUCAGCGCAAGUUCAGAGAAGACCAGUGCGAUCCGCCCAGUAGCUCUGGUGCUGGUUCCAGGAUGCAGCAGCUGCCACACACGCCUGUCCUGGACGCAGUUGCUGUGGCUGGGAAACUGUCCCCAGCCCGCUCUGGGCAGCUGCGGUCCUGUCUCUGGGACAAGGGGCAGCUCCAGUUGUCAGGUGGAGGCCUCCACAUCAUUCUUGGAAACAAGAGGCUCAAACGGAGGGAGAGGGGCGGAGGGAAAGCUCCAGGCAGAAGAGGAGCAGUGGAAAUGCCGCAGCCUGGUGACAAACGGGUUACAGAAACCAGGGCUAGGGACAGGCGUGGGGAAGCCCUCGGGACUGCUUUAUGGGGAAAGCCCGAGCAUUAUUAGCAUACACGUUCGCACGAUGGUUAUUUGGUGGGACAGCAGUAUUUCUUCAUAUCCCAGUUUAGCUGUAUUCUUUGCAGCUAAAGUUGCAAAAUAAGUAAGCUUUGUAUAUGUAAACCUUCAGUAUAUGGCUCUUGAAUUAAUGGAUUUUAUUUUAGAUUCUCCCUAUUCAAAUAAUAUUUUGAAGGGAAAUAAGAAAAAAGGAAUCUUUCCUCCUUAUAUAAUUGUUUCUGCAGAUUAACGUUUGAGAAAACACAUCGCAGAUCACUUAGGAGACACUAGAAAAAUAUCAUUCAGUUGGAAACCAAAAACUUCGCUGUGCAACCAACUCAGAUUUUAAUUGGUCAUGUGACCCCAAAAAGUCCUUUGAUUUCUUGAGAUUGUGUCAACAUGAUUUUAUCAGUAUGAAUGAUGUUAUUUAAAUUCUUCAUGGGGAAAUCAGGACCCUGAAAAAAGUACCUGUAUUAUUCUAGAUAGAGCCUGUAAUGGCAUCUUAAUGCCACAUGUACCAUUCAUUUCCGGGUUCAUGCUUGAGGGUGGUUAUAAAAGUGCUUUAAAAGUUUUUAAUGAAUUAUAGAUCUCAGCACAUGUAUCUUCCAGAUGAAAAGUUAAUUAAAUCAAAUAAACAAAUGCCUACUAAAAAGCACCCUCCCGGGUGCAGGGAUUGGGUUUGGUGAGCGGUGCACACAGGAGGACGGAGCCCCUGUCUCCUCUGUGAGGCACCUGCAGCUCCGUCCGUCUGUCUGUCGGAGGGGAGGGGAGGGAAAAUGGUCCACUCAGCGGUCCUUCCAGAGUGUGACGGUGUCCGAGAAAGCAACAGAGUGUUGGGGAGUUUCAAAGAGCGGAAAGAGAAGCUCCGAGGCUACUCAGAAAGACUGUACAGGACAUAAAACUGGGAUGGUCCGCGAAGGAGGAAUGGGUAAGACAUCUCAGAGUUAAGAGAGCAACAAGAACAACAAGGCAGACACCA